This 492-nucleotide ribosomal RNA is filed under the name uncultured bacterium. RNAcentral describes it as "partial 16S ribosomal RNA". It matches the Rfam family "Bacterial small subunit ribosomal RNA", at positions 29 to 507 of the family's 1533-position model. The record is from RNAcentral.
AGUGAACGCUGGCGGUAGGCCUAACACAUGCAAGUCGAACGGCAGCACAGUAGGAGCUUGCUCUUACGGGUGGCGAGUGGCGGACGGGUGAGGAAUACAUCGGAAUCUACUUUUUCGUGGGGGAUAACGUAGGGAAACUUACGCUAAUACCGCAUACGACCUACGGGUGAAAGCAGGGGAUCUUCGGACCUUGCGCGAUUGAAUGAGCCGAUGUCGGAUUAGCUAGUUGGCGGGGUAAAGGCCCACCAAGGCGACGAUCCGUAGCUGGUCUGAGAGGAUGAUCAGCCACACUGGAACUGAGACACGGUCCAGACUCCUACGGGAGGCAGCAGUGGGGAAUAUUGGACAAUGGGCGCAAGCCUGAUCCAGCCAUACCGCGUGGGUGAAGAAGGCCUUCGGGUUGUAAAGCCCUUUUGUUGGGAAAGAAAAGCAGCGGGUUAAUACCCCGCUGUUCUGACGGUACCCAAAGAAUAAGCACCGGCUAACUUCGUG